RNAcentral lists this unclassified non-coding RNA (495 nucleotides) under uncultured Diversispora. RNAcentral's name for it is "SSU rRNA". It matches the Rfam family "Eukaryotic small subunit ribosomal RNA", at positions 569 to 1070 of the family's 1831-position model. The record is from RNAcentral. Lineage: Eukaryota; Fungi; Glomeromycota; Glomeromycetes; Diversisporales; Diversisporaceae.
AGCAGCCGCGGUAAUUCCAGCUCCAAUAGCGUAUAUUAAAGUUGUUGCAGUUAAAAGCUCGUAGUUGAAUUUCGGGGUUAGUAGGUUGGUCAUGCCUCUGGUAUGUACUGGUCUCACUGAUUCCUCCUUCCUGAUGAACCUUAAUGCCAUUAAUUUGGUGUUUUGGGGAAUUUGGACUGUUACUUUGAAAAAUUAGAGUGUUUAAAGCAAGCUAACGCUUGAAUACAUUAGCAUGGAAUAAUGAAAUAGGACGUUCGAUCCUAUUUUGUUGGUUUCUAGGAUUGACGUAAUGAUUAAUAGGGAUAGUUGGGGGCAUUAGUAUUCAAUUGUCAGAGGUGAAAUUCUUGGAUUUAUUGAAGACUAACUACUGCGAAAGCAUUUGCCAAGGAUGUUUUCAUUAAUCAAGAACGAAAGUUAGGGGAUCGAAGACGAUCAGAUACCGUCGUAGUCUUAACCAUAAACUAUGCCGACUAGGGAUCGGAUGAUGUUAAUUUU